RNAcentral lists this long non-coding RNA (215 nucleotides) under Mytilus galloprovincialis (Mediterranean mussel). The record is from RNAcentral. Lineage: Eukaryota; Metazoa; Mollusca; Bivalvia; Mytilida; Mytilidae.
AGACCCCCCACUUUAGGUCAGGCAGCACCAUGUCCUGUAUUUGUUAAAAAAUAUAUAAAAAAAUAUAUAUAUAUAUAUAUAUAUUGCCAUUCACUCUAAAAACGAAGCUGAAUACGUAAAUCCUCUUUUAAGAAAAGUAAUAUUGUUUCAUUUUUACAAUUUAUUCUCAAUAGCUGCAAAUGUUAAAUAACACCAAGAUUAAAAUCGCCAACAGC